GCCAAUGUAGCUCAGUUGGUAGAGCAGCCCCAUGGUAAGGGGCAGGUCGCCAGUUCAAUUCUGGCCAUUGGCUCCA
RNAcentral lists this transfer RNA (76 nucleotides) under Patescibacteria group bacterium. Its description in RNAcentral is "tRNA-Thr". It matches the Rfam family "tRNA". Rfam says of the family: Transfer RNA (tRNA) molecules are approximately 80 nucleotides in length. Their secondary structure includes four short double-helical elements and three loops (D, anti-codon, and T loops). The record is from RNAcentral.